RNAcentral lists this long non-coding RNA (1858 nucleotides) under Callithrix jacchus (white-tufted-ear marmoset). RNAcentral describes it as "lncRNA (ENSCJAG00000051709.2)". Lineage: Eukaryota; Metazoa; Chordata; Mammalia; Primates; Cebidae. The record is from RNAcentral.
AGCAUCUGGGAUGCCACUCCAUCAUCCAGCCAACAUAAUUCUUGCUUCCUUUACUGCUGUAGGCAGCUCUCAAUCCAGAGUUAUGCAGCAGAUAAAAGAAGAGGCAGUAAGAGGUCAAAAACGAGUAAGAGUGAGGGGUUACAAUGUGUUUUUGCUGAGACUGAGAAAGGAAGUAUAAAGAAAAAGAAUUGUGCAAGAAUAAGAGGGCUAUUCAGAUAUGGUGAUGUCAGAUGAAAUGUGGUUGGGUCAACUAUUUGGUUUGGGUAACCAGAGAAGGUAAGAACAUUUUGAGCUUCUAGUAAAUCUCCUUGAGCAGAAGCGUCUGUUCAUGUGUCCCAGGUCUAAAAGAAACUAUGACUGUUUAUGGAAAGAAUUCUUUGUGUACGGGCUGCAGGCAGAUUCUGUUCUUCUGCCUCGAUGAACUGGUGUGUGGUCAGUGAACUCUGUGACAACAGCUUGCAAAGAAAAAACUGCCCAUCUGCCGGAUUUUCACAGCAGGUAACAACAUGCUCUUUCUCCAUAUUGGGGACUAUGCUUCUCACACUGCAUGUGGUCCUGGAAAAACGAAGUUCCCCCAUGACCUUCUCCACCCGCUCUGUGGCCCAUCAUCUGGAACACUGGAGACUAACCAGCAGUCUCCAUCAUCUGGAACACUGGAGACUAACCAGCAGUCUCCAUCAUCUGGAACACUGGCCUUACCUAUGGCAUGCUCUAUGGACACUGGGAGAGAGGAGGUGGCUAUUUUACUCUGGGAUUUCUAGUUGUAGGGAUUGUGUGAGCCUGGGAUUGUUGGGAGCAAUUUCCUCAGCGGUAUGGGAGAAACUGCCUGUAGAACAAAGCCAUUACACAGAGGAAAGCAGAGCCAAGAGGUGGGGAGACAAACACUCAGAAUUCUGAUGGCAUCACUAAAGGCCCUGGAUCCAGCCAUGCCUGAAAGGAGAACACCCCAGUUACAAGAGCCUCAAGAGAGCCCCUUCUAGCUUGAGAAAGUUUCAGCUGGAUUUUUGUCAUUUGACCCAAUGCAAAGGGAAUUACAGAAUUUAAAAAAGCCAAAGGAUUUUAAUAAGAGUAGAUAUAAACACUGUGUUUAGACUACAUUUUUCAAAGGCCCUACAUAGAAAAACACAAACUCUUCGUGUUUCUUUGAAUGUGAUUUUGCUCUGAGAUGGAAACAUGGGUUUUGGCUCUACCUGAGCAAGUUAUCUAUUCAUUUUGUUUCCUCCUCUAUAAUAUAAGAAUAGUAGCAGUGCCUGCCUCUGGUAGGUUAAUACAUUCAGAGCUCUUAGAACAGUGCCCAGCAUAUAAUAAAUGCUCUGUACCACUCUAAUAGUCUGCUUGCAUUUCCUUUCUUUCCUCGGUUAAUUUUCCCCCAUACCUCAAGUCAGCAUCCAAAAAAGGUAAAGCAGGUUGUGGUAGUGCAUAUGCCUAUUGUCGCAGCUACUCAAGAGGCUGGGGGGAGGGUCACUUGAGCCCAGGAGUGAACCCAGGAUCUCAAGGCCAGCUUGGGCAAUACAGUGUGACCCUGUAUCAAGAAAAAGGAAGAAAGGAAGGAAGGGAGGAAGAGGGGAAGGGAAGGGAAGGGAAGAAGGGAAGGAGGGAGGGAGAAAGGGAGGGAAAAAGGGAGCUAGAAAGUGGAAAACUAGUCUGGUAAAUACCAGGCAGAACUUGCUUUGAAGGUUGAGGGCUGGGAAGAAACUGAGCUGGUGAAGGCAGAGCCUCUUCAGUGAGUGGGGACAGAAGAGAAUCUGUCAAGAACACACAUUUGUUAACAAAGUUGAGUUUGUCAAAUAUAGACUGAACACAUAUUAGUUUGUUCACAUUAGCCUUUAAUACCUUCUUAACUAGUAAAAAUUUAAUG